RNAcentral lists this ribosomal RNA (380 nucleotides) under uncultured eukaryote. RNAcentral describes it as "partial 18S ribosomal RNA". It matches the Rfam family "Eukaryotic small subunit ribosomal RNA", at positions 592 to 976 of the family's 1831-position model. The record is from RNAcentral.
CAAUAGCGUAUAUUAAAGUUGUUGCGGUUAAAAAGCUCGUAGUUGGAUUUCUGCCGAGGACGACCGGUCCGCCCUCCGGGUGAGUAUCUGGUUUGGCCUGGGCAUCUUCUUGGAGAACGUAGCUGCACUUGACUGUGUGGUGCGGUGUCCAGGACUUUUACUUUGAGGAAAUUAGAGUGUUUCAAGCAGGCACACGCCUUGAAUACAUUAGCAUGGAAUAAUAAGAUAGGACCUCGGUUCUAUUUUGUUGGUUUCUAGAGCUGAGGUAAUGAUUGAUAGGGACGGUUGGGGGCAUCCGUAUUCUCAAGCGAGAGGUGAAAUUCUUGGACCUUGGGAAGACGAACAGCUGCGAAAGCGUUUGCCUAGGACGUUCUCUUUAA